RNAcentral lists this ribosomal RNA (467 nucleotides) under uncultured bacterium. Its description in RNAcentral is "partial 16S ribosomal RNA". It matches the Rfam family "Bacterial small subunit ribosomal RNA", at positions 29 to 523 of the family's 1533-position model. The record is from RNAcentral.
AAUGAAUGCUGGCGGCGUGCCUAACACAUGCAAGUCGAGCGGCAGCGCGAGUAGUUUACUACUUGGCGGCGAGCAGCGGACGGCUGAGUAACGCGUGGGAACGUGCCCCAAAGUGAGGAAUAACUGCCCGAAAGGGUAGCUAAUGCCGCAUAUGGUCUUCGGAUUAAAGUAUUUAUACGCUUUGGGAGCGGCCCGCGUCGGAUUAGGUAGUUGGUGAGGUAAAGGCUCACCAAGCCGACGAUCCGUAGCUGGUCUUAGAGGAUGAUCAGCCAGACUGGAACUGAGACACGGUCCAGACUCCUACGGGAGGCAGCAGUGAGGAAUCUUCCACAGUGGGCGAAAGCCUGAUGGAGCAACGCCGCGUGAAGGAUGAAGGCCUUAGGGUUGUAAACUUCUUUUAUAAGUGAAGAAUAUGACGGUAACUUAUGAAUAAGCACCGGCUAACUACGUGCCAGCAGCCGCGGUAA